UACCACCAGUUCCUGUACGAUCACCAAAAUUAAGCAACAUCAAGCCUGGUCAAUACUUAGAUGGGUGACCACUUGAGAAUACCUGGUGUUGUAAG
Acanthosepion pharaonis is the source of this 95-nucleotide non-coding RNA. Lineage: Eukaryota; Metazoa; Mollusca; Cephalopoda; Sepiida; Sepiidae. The record is from the annotation of a GenBank genome assembly.